AAUAUCGUUUGCUUUGGGCGCCAAAAUGAAGACUUAGCACAGCAGUCACUGCCAGUCAGUCAGAAGAACUCUCUCAGACGGACACCACGUUAUUAAAGACCAUCAUCCUUGCACACACUCAAAAGCAUUGAUAAAUGCUGAAUUUAAAAGAAUCACUACUGUCUUAUGUUCCUGUGUCACCUGGACCUCCAAUCCAAAAACCUGAUGAAACUCUUCUAUCAGAAAGGAGGACAGCUAGCAAAAAGACUUCAAACAAUCAAUGAUCAAAUGACAGAAGGCAUGGAUGAAGUCAGCAUCAGUGAGGUCAUUUGAAGACACCAAUGUUGGGAUUUGUGCUCUCAAACAACAUGCUUCUUGUGAUGAAGAAGAGGAUCUUUGUAUAGUCCUGGAAGCCAUGAAGGUGUUGCAACAUCGUGUUUGAGCUGAUGUAUGCCUUAAACCUGAUCUCCGCUUUAUUUUUGAGGAAAUCCAAACUGCAUUGAGAGUAACUUUAACGAACAGUUUCUUUCAGUGAAAUGAUCAGAAAGACUGUGCUGCUCAUUUUUGAAUUUUUUAUCUGUUUUAAGUGUUUUCUCUUAUUAAUACAUUAACAGUUUGCUGCUCAGUCUCGAUUUUGGAAAUGGUUGUUGUAUUUUGUUUUUGUUGAAUCUUUGAUUUAACAGUUUAUAAAUGCUGUAGCUCUGACUUUCUGAAGGAGUGAUAUUUUCCAGUUUGUAAAUCCAUUUUAUAAAUAAUAGUACUUACUGUUUUGCAUGUCUCUUUGGAAUGCAGUGUUUGUGCUUUAGCACUUCUAAAUCUACUGUGAUAGUAACUAUUUUAAACAUUUGGGUCAGUUUCACAGAUGGGGCUUUUCCUAGUCCCAGACUUUUGCAAUGCCAUAUAUCAGUGCCAUUGUUUUGUCUCAAGAUGUACUCCAGUGUUGUUUUUGUAAGGUAGGUUUGUUUGUAAACUUUAUUUUAUUAAAAAUAUCCUAAUAUAACUAGGGCCUAGUCAUGGAUUAAUCUACAACCUGUUUGGGAAAUUGCCCCUUUAUGUAUGUACUGCAUGUGCUGAUUGUUGUAAUAGUUAUUGACUGUUAUUGAAUUAAUGUGUAGUGAUUUAAAUGAAUUGAUGAUCUGAAAGCAGGGGUUUGCCUCAAUAUCACUAAACAUUUGUACAAAACUCUUUGCUUUUUAUGCCAAUGCAAAUGUAUUUUGUAUUUAAAAAAAAUAAAUAACAUUU
Misgurnus anguillicaudatus (oriental weatherfish) is the source of this 1221-nucleotide non-coding RNA. The record is from RefSeq and is a predicted model, not a curated record. Lineage: Eukaryota; Metazoa; Chordata; Actinopteri; Cypriniformes; Cobitidae.